Molecule: long non-coding RNA, 429 nt
Organism: Zophobas morio
Lineage: Eukaryota; Metazoa; Arthropoda; Insecta; Coleoptera; Tenebrionidae
Exons: 4
Source: RefSeq, a predicted model, not a curated record
GGGAUAGAACUAUCCGAAUUUGGGAUCCACAAUCUUUAGAAUUUAAAUUAAUUUCAACCUUACAGCAACCCGACAGGGUAUAUACUUUAAGCACCGUCGAGAAUUAUUUGGUGGUGGGGACCGCCUCCCGUCACGUGUGGAUUUGGGAUUUGAGAAAUACUUCCCAUCCAAUUCAGAAAAGAGAGAGUUCUCUAAAGCAUCAAACUCGUUAUAUUUGUUGCUUCCUCAAUGGAAAAGGCUAUGCGCACUGCUCCAUUGAAGGGCGAGUGGCUGUUGAAUUUUUUGAUCUGAACUCUCAAUCAAAGCGAUAUGCUUUUAAGUGCCAUCGAAGUGUGAAAGAUGGGGUGCCCACCAUUUAUCCAAUAAACGCUUUAGCUUUCCAUCCAGUUUACCACACCUUGGCUACUGGAGGCAGUGACGGAACUGUUU